ACGCCGGCGGUGUGCCUAAUACAUGCAAGUCGAGCGCACUGGCCCAACUGAUAUGACGUGCUUGCCCUGAUUUGACGAUGGAUUACCAGUGAGCGGCGGACGGGUGAGUAACACGUGGGCAACCUGCCCUGGAGCGGGGGAUAACAUCUGGAAACAGGUGCUAAUACCGCAUGACUACUAAAACCACCUGGUUUUAGUAUAAAAGAAGGCUUCGGCUUUCACUCUAGGAUGGGCCCGCGGUGCAUUAGCUAGUUGGUAAGGUAACGGCUUACCAAGGCGAUGAUGCAUAGCCGAGUUGAGAGACUGAUCGGCCACAAUGGAACUGAGACACGGUCCAUACUCCUACGGGAGGCAGCAGUAGGGAAUCUUCCGCAAUGGGCGCAAGCCUGAUGGAGCAACACCGCGUGAGUGAAGAAGGGUUUCGGCUCGUAAAGCUCUGUUGUUGAAGAAGAACGUGCGUGAGAGUAACUGUUCACGCAGUGACGGUUUCAACCAGAAAGUCACGGCUAACUACGUGCCAGCAGCCGCGGUAAUACGUAGGUGGCAAGCGUUAUCCGGAUUUAUUGGGCGUAAAGCGAGCGCAGGCGGUUGCUUAGGUCUGAUGUGAAAGCCUUCGGCUUAACCGAAGAAGUGCAUCGGAAACCGGGCGACUUGAGUGCAGAAGAGGACAGUGGAACUCCAUGUGUAGCGGUGGAAUGCGUAGAUAUAUGGAAGAACACCAGUGGCGAAGGCGGCUGUCUGGUCUGCAACUGACGCUGAGGCUCGAAAGCAUGGGUAGCGAACAGGAUUAGAUACCCUGGUAGUCCAUGCCGUAAACGAUGAGUGCUAGGUGUUGGAGGGUUUCCGCCCUUCAGUGCCGGAGCUAACGCAUUAAGCACUCCGCCUGGGGAGUACGACCGCAAGGUUGAAA
This 910-nucleotide ribosomal RNA is filed under the name uncultured bacterium. RNAcentral describes it as "bacterial SSU rRNA". It matches the Rfam family "Bacterial small subunit ribosomal RNA", at positions 33 to 899 of the family's 1533-position model. The record is from RNAcentral.